RNAcentral lists this ribosomal RNA (434 nucleotides) under uncultured microorganism. RNAcentral's name for it is "bacterial SSU rRNA". It matches the Rfam family "Bacterial small subunit ribosomal RNA", at positions 9 to 448 of the family's 1533-position model. The record is from RNAcentral.
GAGUUUGAUCUUGGCUCAGAUUGAACGCUGGCGGCAGGCCUAACACAUGCAAGUCGAGCGGAUGAAGGGAGCUUGCUCCUGGAUUCAGCGGUGGACGGGUGAGUAAUGCCUAGGAAUCUGCCUGGUAGUGGGGAUAACGUCCGGAACGGGCGCUAAUACCGCAUACGUCCUGAGGGAGAAAGUGGGGAUCUUCGGACCUCACGCUAUCAGAUGAGCCUAGGUCGGAUUAGCUAGUUGGGUGGGGUAAAGGCCUACCAAGGCGACGAUCCGUAACUGGUCUGAGAGGAUGAUCAGUCACACUGGAACUGAGACACGGUCCAGACUCCUACGGGAGGCAGCAGUGGGGAAUAUUGGACAAUGGGCGAAAGCCUGAUCCAGCCAUGCCGCGUGUGUGAAGAAGGUCUUCGGAUUGUAAAGCACUUUAAGUUGGAGGA